RNAcentral lists this ribosomal RNA (468 nucleotides) under uncultured bacterium. RNAcentral describes it as "partial 16S ribosomal RNA". It matches the Rfam family "Bacterial small subunit ribosomal RNA", at positions 28 to 507 of the family's 1533-position model. The record is from RNAcentral.
GACGAACGCUGGCGGCGUGCUUAACACAUGCAAGUCGAACGGAAAGGCCCUGCUUUUGUGGGGUGCUCGAGUGGCGAACUGGUGAGUAACACGUGAGUAACCUGCCCUUGACUUUGGGAUAACUUCAUGAAACUGGGGCUCAUACCGGAUAGGAGCUCCUGCUGCAUGGUGGGGGUUGGAUAGUUUCGGCGGUUGGGGAUGGACUCGCGGCUUAUCAGCUUGUUGGUGGGGUAGUGGCUUACCAAGGCUUUGACGGGUAGCCGGCCUGGGAGGGUGACCGGCCACAUUGGGACGGAGAUAAGGCACAGACUACUACGGGAGGCAGCAGUGGGGAAUAUUGCACAAUGGGCGGAAGCAUGAUGCAGCAACGCAGCGUGCGGGAUGACGGCCUUCGGGUUGGAAACCGCUUUCGCCUGUGACGAAGUGUGAGUGACGGUAAUGGGUAAAGAAGCACCGGCUAACUACGUG